RNAcentral lists this ribosomal RNA (403 nucleotides) under uncultured bacterium. RNAcentral's name for it is "partial 16S ribosomal RNA". It matches the Rfam family "Bacterial small subunit ribosomal RNA", at positions 30 to 526 of the family's 1533-position model. The record is from RNAcentral.
AUUGAACGCUGGCGGCAGGCUUAACACAUGCAAGUCGAGCGAGCGGCGGACGGGUGUGUAAUGUAUGGGGACUGCCCGACAGCGGGGGAUAACUCCUGGAAAAGGUAGCUAAUACCGCAUACUAUCGGAUAACGCAUAUGGGCUUAGCUAGUAGGUGAGGUAAUGGCUCACCUAGGCGACGAUCCCUAGCUGGUCUGAGAGGAUUAUCAGCCACACGGGGACUGAGACACGGCCCAGAGUCCUACGGAGGCAGCAGUGGGGAAUAUUGCAAAAUGGGCGCAAGCCUGAUGCAGCCAUGCCGCGGGUAUGAAGAAGGCCUUAGGGUUGUAAAGUACUUUCAGUCGGGAGGCGUUACCGACAGAAGAAGCACCGGCUAACUCCGUGCCAGCAGGCGCGGUAAUUC